RNAcentral lists this long non-coding RNA (1351 nucleotides) under Olea europaea subsp. europaea. Lineage: Eukaryota; Viridiplantae; Streptophyta; Magnoliopsida; Lamiales; Oleaceae. The record is from RNAcentral.
CAGCCUUUCCUUCAAAGGCUUUGGUAUCGACAGCUCCUGCUCCAUCAUCCUCCGCUGAGGCUGCUUCAUCCAAACCGGUUGAUGAGGGGGCUAUGUUUAAAGAGACGUCUUCAGUCCCAGAGUCCUCAUCACAACCCAUGGAUGAACCACCUUCUUCCCAGAGCUUCAACCCCCCAAACAUCGAAGCAGAAGGUAAUUCAGUCUUUUGAUGUCUUACCUUUGCUUGUGCUGUUGGUUUCUGAUUUGUUGCUCUUGAGUUUUGCAGAUACUCCUAUGAGUCCACCCGUUGUGGCAACAUCUUCUCGCUCAGACAAGGGGAAGUCCUCACGAAUGGAGGAGUCGUUGGUGGCAGACUUGGCUGAAAACAUGUCAUCUUCCACGAUUGUUGAUGAGGUAAUCUUUGCUUCACUUUUAUUUCUAUCUUGUUCGUUGUAGUGAAAAUCUUUAAUAUUGACAAUUCUCUUUACAGGAUGUUGACAAGAUUGUACGUUCUAUCCAAGACUUGUUCGCUUUCUGGGGGCAAGUCCAAACGUCUCGUCCUGCUCCAUCUGAUCGUCCUGCUGCUUCUUCAGAGGAAGAUUUGAAGUUCCUCAAGGAGUCGAUAUUUGAGUACGUGUCCUUCAUGGAUAUGAACAUUGGAAGGGUUAGUGCUGCCAGACACAAGGAUAAACUUGAGCAUCUGAAUGCGAAGUUGGAGCAAGCACUGACGCUUCCGUCGUUUAAUCUUUCUGCCGAUUUUAAAGCGAGGUUAAAGGUUAUCCACUCCGAGGUCCUUUCUUUGUUGGCCAAGAAUGCUGAACUAAAGGCCAAAAGUACUCAAUAUCUUCGAGCCGUAUCUGAGAAAGAGUCUUUGCGUAUGGAGAUUAACAAGGCUGAGGACGAGUUGAAAGAAAUUUCUUCCGAAAUCAUGGUUAAAGACUCUUUGAUGGUUAAUUUGGCUGCUCAGAUGAAGGAACUUCAAGCUAAAAUGGACGACUGCAAGGCGAGAAUGGCUGCUAAAAAGCGCAACGCCUCCCAGGGAAUUGAGCGAACUAAAUCCUUGGUUGAGCAGUACAAGAAGUUGGAAGUUGAUGAUGAUGUCGUGGCUGAAUUAAACAUCACUUCCUCUCGGCAGAACGAGGAUUGGGAAAAACUUAGGGAACGAAUUCGUUCAGUGUGGGGUGGACUGUAAUUAAGACACAUUAUGCCUUUUCUUUUGUAAUUUAAUUUUCUCUUUGUAACUCUGUUCAUAAUUAAUGAACAUAUAUAUUAACUUCUUGUACAUUUAUUUGACGUUUGUUUUUUAGUCGUCAAUUUUUCAAGCAUUUAACUGCUUUGUGCUAAAAAUCUUGUCCAUUUUCUUUUGAUAUUU